CGAAAUUGCAAGUUAUGAAUUCCUAAAAAAAAAAAAUAAGUGACACAUUCAAAAAUGAUAAUUACAAUGAUUUGUUAAGUAAUAAGAUGAUAUGCGGGGAAAUAACAUAUAAUGAAAUCCUCCAAAAAUUUAGUUGAAAUUACGCUAAUGUUGGUGCUCGUGGCGAAACAAAAGUGAUAAAUUCCUAUGAAAUUGUAGCUUUUGAAUUAUAGUAACCACAUUUUAAAAUAUUUACAUCUUCGGAAGGUCCUACCUGAUAUAUUGGGGUUACUUGAGGUUAUCACAGAGCCUAUUCUCAUCAUAGCUAUAAAAAUAAUGAUCAAGACACGAGUACUUAUCAACAAAUGGAAACACCAAGUUUUAUCAGCUUACAAAGAAAACGCUAACAUUUUAGUUUUUUGAUAAUACGCAAACACACAUACACGAAUUAUAUUAUAUGUAAGUCAACCCUAAAUUAAAUAUACUUCAUCUUUUAUU
This is a long non-coding RNA of Daktulosphaira vitifoliae (grape phylloxera), 477 nucleotides long. RefSeq lists it as uncharacterized. The transcript is spliced from 3 exons. Lineage: Eukaryota; Metazoa; Arthropoda; Insecta; Hemiptera; Phylloxeridae. The record is from RefSeq and is a predicted model, not a curated record.